This 253-nucleotide ribosomal RNA is filed under the name uncultured bacterium. RNAcentral's name for it is "partial 16S ribosomal RNA". It matches the Rfam family "Bacterial small subunit ribosomal RNA", at positions 524 to 776 of the family's 1533-position model. The record is from RNAcentral.
GACGAACCGUGCGAACGUUGUUCGGAUUCACUGGGCUUAAAGGGCGCGUAGGCGGUUCGUACAGUCAGACGUGAAAUUCCUGGGCUCAACCUGGGGGCUGCGUUUGAUACGUGCGGACUUGAGUGCGGAAGAGGGUCGUGGAAUUCCCAGUGUAGAGGUGAAAUUCGUAGAUAUUGGGAAGAACACCGGUGGCGAAGGCGGCGACCUGGUCCGAUACUGACGCUGAGGCGCGAAAGCGUGGGGAGCAAACAGG